AGCGGCGGACGGGUGAGUAACGCGUGAGCAACCUUUCCUUCACUGGGGAAUAACACAGGGAAACUUGUACUAAUACCGCAUGAGACCACGGUAAGGCAUCUUACAGGGGUCAAAGAUUUAUCGGUGAAGGGUGGGCUCGCGUCCGAUUAGGUAGUUGGUGAGGUAACGGCCCACCAAGCCGACGAUCGGUAGCCGACCUGAGAGGGUGAUCGGCCACAUUGGGACUGAGACACGGCCCAAACUCCUACGGGAGGCAGCAGUGGGGAAUAUUGGGCAAUGGGCGAAAGCCUGACCCAGCAACGCCGCGUGGAGGAAGAAGGUUUUCGGAUCGUAAACUCCUGUCCUCAGGGAAGAGCAGAAGACGGUACCUGAGGAGGAAGCCCCGGCUAACUACGUGCCAGCAGCCGCGGUAAUACGUAGGGGGCAAGCGUUGUCCGGAAUGAUUGGGCGUAAAGGGCGCGUAGGCGGCCCGGUAAGUCUGGAGUGAAAGUCCUGCUUUUAAGGUGGGAAUUGCUUUGGAUACUGUCGGGCUUGAGUGCAGGAGAGGAGAGUGGAAUUCCUAGUGUAGCGGUGAAAUGCGUAGAUAUUAGGAGGAACACCAGUUGCGAAGGCGGCUCUCUGGACUGUAACUGACACUGAGGCACGAAAGCGUGGGGAGCAAACAGGAUUAGAUACCCUGGUAGUCCACCGCCGUAAACGAUGAGUACUAGCUGUCCGAGGUACCCCCUUCGGUGGCGCAGCUAACGCAUUAAGUACUCCGCCUGGGGAAGUAGGCUCGCAAGAGUGAAACUCAAAGAAAUUGACGGGGGACCCGCACAAGUAGCGGAGCAUGUGGUUUAAUUUGAAGCAACGCGAAGAACCUUACCUAAGCUUGACAUCCUUUUGACCUCUCCCUAAUCGGAGAUUUUCCUUCGGGGACAGAAGUGACAGGUGGUGCAUGGUUGUCGUCAGCUCGUGUCGUGAGAUGUUGGGUUAAGUCCCGCAACGAGCGCAACCCUUGCCUUUAGUUGCCAGCAUUAAGUUGGGCACUCUAGAGGGACUGCCAGGGAUAACCUGGAGGAAGGUGGGGAUGACGUCAAAUCAUCAUGCCCCUUAUGCUUAGGGCUACACACGUGCUACAAUGGGUGGUACAGAGGGCAGCCAAGUCGUGAGGCGGAGCUAAUCCCUUAAAGCCAUUCUCAGUUCGGAUUGUAGGCUGAAACUCGCCUACAUGAAGCUGGAGAAACUAGUAAUCGCAGAUCAGAAUGCUGCG
This 1252-nucleotide ribosomal RNA is filed under the name uncultured bacterium. RNAcentral describes it as "partial 16S ribosomal RNA". It matches the Rfam family "Bacterial small subunit ribosomal RNA", at positions 94 to 1361 of the family's 1533-position model. The record is from RNAcentral.